This 121-nucleotide ribosomal RNA is filed under the name Elaeophora elaphi. Lineage: Eukaryota; Metazoa; Nematoda; Chromadorea; Rhabditida; Onchocercidae. The record is from RNAcentral.
GUCUACGACCAUACCACAUUGGAAGCACGACAUUUCGUCUAAUCUGUCAAGUUAACGAAAGUUGGGCUUGAUUAGUACCUUUAUCGGAGAUAGCUGGGAAUUCCAACUGUUGUAGACGACA